UAUGACUAUCAUGGUACCGCUGAGCUCCUGAGAACAACACACUUUUUCCCAAAUGUCUGUUAAAGCAGUCUGCAUGCCCAGGUGCAUCGCUUCCUGUUGUCAUGGAAGUGACUCGAACACCUGAAAUACUUUUGGCAAGAUAGUGUUUAGUAACAGUUUAUGAAAAGCAGAAACCUGAAGAUAAUCUAAGGAGUCGUUAACAAAAGCAGUGCUGUGGAGGGUUUUUUUUUCACAAAGUUAAGAGUGGACACAUGGAAAUAAAGUCGUUUGGUAAUUACAUUUAUAUUCAUUGAUUUUUAUAUUUUGUUACGUUUCGGUGUUGUCAGUUUUUUGUUUUUUUGCGUGACUGUCAUGUAUUUCCUGCUUUACUUUGAAAGUCUGUGUUAUCUUAGUGUGUUCAGUUUACGUUUCCUUGUCUCGUCAGGUCUAAUUUGCCCCAGCUGUGUUUCCCUCCUGUGGUCCAUUCCCUGAUUGCUCCUUCUAUGUAUUUAAGUGUUUCAGUAUGUCAUGGUUGCGAUCUUUCCCCGUGUUGUAAAUAAAUAGUUUGUUUUAAAUAGCUGUAAAUGGGUUUUGUCAAUACUUUCGUUUUGAGACACUUCCUUUUUGGGAAUUUGGUGGAGAGCCUUAGUGGGUUUUUUUGUCGUGUUUUUUUCCUUAUUUUUAUUUUCCUGCGUUUCACGCCGGUUGCCUAGGCCGGGGUGUAACAAUUUCCAUAGCUAUAUUAUAUUAUUUCUUAUUCACGGAGGUUAGGGCAUGCAGUUGUGGCAUCUCUUUCCUCCUCUGGAGUUCUGUUUCACUUUGCCCCUCUCUCUUUCGCUCAGUCUCCACUGCUGUUGUUACCACUCAAAGAAGGUAUAAAUGAACAAACAGACAAGAAAUACAACCACAGAUACUACACAGGGUGGAUUAGGGGUAGGCAGACAUACUGCAAAGGUAAGCUAUGAUGAUAUGAUCCCACGAUGUCUGCGAUGCAAAGACACUCACACGCACACCCCGACUGAAACACCUUCCCAACUGCCUUGAGGCGUUUUAAUUAUGCUCUCAGCCAUCGUAAUAUUCUGUGUGUGUGUCUGUGUGUGUAUGUGUUGGUGGACUGGUGGUGCGUAGGGGGGUUCAGAAGCACAGUUGGAUUUAAAAUAGUCCCUGUUGUCUCCUAUUGUCUCUCGUGCUUUGAUGUUUCUGGUAGUGAGUGGUUAGUAAUUAGCACACCCACUCAAUUUGGUACAUCUUCUCCUCUUUGUC
Astatotilapia calliptera (eastern happy) is the source of this 1242-nucleotide long non-coding RNA. Lineage: Eukaryota; Metazoa; Chordata; Actinopteri; Cichliformes; Cichlidae. The record is from Ensembl.